UACGGGGGGAGCAAGCGUUGUUCGGAUUUACUGGGCGUAAAGGGCGCGUAGGCGGCGCAACAAGUCACUUGUGAAAUCUCCGGGCUUAACCCGGAGCGGCCAAGUGAUACUGUCGUGCUAGAGUGCGGAAGGGGCUACUGGAAUUCUCGGUGUAGCGGUGAAAUGCGUAGAUACCGAGAGGAACACCUGCGGCGAAGGCGGGUUGCUGGGCUGACACUGACGCUGAGGCGCGAAAGCCAGGGGAGCGAACGGG
This 253-nucleotide ribosomal RNA is filed under the name uncultured bacterium. RNAcentral describes it as "partial 16S ribosomal RNA". It matches the Rfam family "Bacterial small subunit ribosomal RNA", at positions 524 to 776 of the family's 1533-position model. The record is from RNAcentral.